This 292-nucleotide unclassified non-coding RNA is filed under the name Hevea brasiliensis (rubber tree). The record is from RNAcentral. Lineage: Eukaryota; Viridiplantae; Streptophyta; Magnoliopsida; Malpighiales; Euphorbiaceae.
GAAGCAUGAGGACUAUAAGGUAAAACAAUUCCCACCUUAUUUUUGUUUCACAGAGAAUCUCAUUGACAUAAACGUCAGUAAAGAACAUACCCUAUCUCGUUUUAAAACUAAUAAGACUAAUAUCCAGAUCUCAUGAUAAUGAGUCUUUAGAAUAACAGUAACCAUCGUUGAAUUUAGCAACAAAUUAAAUAGGUUAUUGGUGUUUUUUUCCCUCUAAAUAACUUCAAAUAAUGUUCUACUGAUGAACUCAAUUUUUUUGAUGCUUUUUAGUUCAAUGGUUUGGCAUGGCUCU